RNAcentral lists this non-coding RNA (30 nucleotides) under Rattus norvegicus (Norway rat). The record is from RNAcentral. Lineage: Eukaryota; Metazoa; Chordata; Mammalia; Rodentia; Muridae.
UUCNCCAAGACUAUGCAGUCUAUUUGGCCA